GUUGGGAAUAUUGCGCAAUGGGCGACAGCCUGACGCAGCGACGCCGCGUGGUCGAAGAAGCCUUUCGGGGUGUAAAGACCUUUUUUAGGGGACGAUUGUGACGGUACCCUAAGAAUAAGAGCCUGCUAACUACGUGCCAGCAGCAGCGGUAAUACGUAGGGCUCGAGCGUUGUCCGGAAUUAUUGGGCGUAAAGAGUAUGUAGGUGGAACUUUAAGUCGAAUUUAAAAUACUUGGGCUUAACUCAAGUUCUGGAUUUGAAACUAGAGUUCUAGAGUUUAGCAGGGGCAAGCGGAACUGGCGGUGUAGCAGUGAAAUGCGUUGAUAUCGCCAAGAACACCAAUGGCGAAGGCAGCUUGCUAGGUUAUUACUGACACUGAGAUACGAAAGCGUGGGGAGCGAACGGGAUUAGAUACCCCUGUAGUCC
Molecule: ribosomal RNA, 425 nt
Filed under: uncultured bacterium
Lineage: Bacteria
Description: bacterial SSU rRNA
Rfam family: Bacterial small subunit ribosomal RNA
Source: RNAcentral